RNAcentral lists this ribosomal RNA (484 nucleotides) under uncultured bacterium. Its description in RNAcentral is "partial 16S ribosomal RNA". It matches the Rfam family "Bacterial small subunit ribosomal RNA", at positions 30 to 507 of the family's 1533-position model. The record is from RNAcentral.
AUUGAACGCUGGCGGCAGGCCUAACACAUGCAAGUCGAGCGGAUGAAGGGAGCUUGCUCCUGGAUUCAGCGGCGGACGGGUGAGUAAUGCCUAGGAAUCUGCCUGAUAGUGGGGGAUAGCGUCCGGAAACGGGCGCUAAUACCGCAUACGUCCUGAUGGUGAAAGUGGGGGAUCUUCGGACCUCACGCUAUCUGAUGAGCCUAGGUCGGAUUAGCUAGUUGGUUGGGUAAAGGCCUACCAAGGCGACGAUCCGUAACUGGUCUGAGAGGAUGAUCAGUCACACUGGAACUGAGACACGGUCCAGACUCCUACGGGAGGCAGCAGUGGGGAAUAUUGGACAAUGGGCGAAAGCCUGACCCAGCAAUGCCGCGUGUGUGAAGAAGGUCUUCGGAUUGUAAAGCACUUUAAGUUGGGAGGAACGGCAGUAAGUUAAUACCUUGCUGUUUUGACGUUACCAACAGAAUAAGCACCGGCUAACUUCGUG